UACGAAGGGUGCAAGCGUUAAUCGGAAUUACUGGGCGUAAAGCGCGCGUAGGUGGUUCAGCAAGUUGGAUGUGAAAUCCCCGGGCUCAACCCGGGAACUGCGUCCGAUACUGGGAGGCUUGAAUCCGGGAGAGGGAUGUGGAAUUCCAGGUGUAGCGGUGAAAUGCGUAGAGAUCCGGAAGAACACCGGUGGCGAAGGCGGCCUGCUGGGUUCUGGCUGACACUGAGGCGCGACAGCGUGGGGAGCAAACAGG
This 253-nucleotide ribosomal RNA is filed under the name uncultured prokaryote. Its description in RNAcentral is "partial 16S ribosomal RNA". It matches the Rfam family "Bacterial small subunit ribosomal RNA", at positions 524 to 776 of the family's 1533-position model. The record is from RNAcentral.